This 264-nucleotide long non-coding RNA is filed under the name Bos taurus (domestic cattle). RNAcentral's name for it is "long non-coding RNA NONBTAT018635". Lineage: Eukaryota; Metazoa; Chordata; Mammalia; Artiodactyla; Bovidae. The record is from RNAcentral.
CACCCUAAAAUGUGAGCCUGAGUGAGAAAUCAGUGUCUUAAAGGCCUGUGGCUGCAGCAGCUGUCAUGAAAGCCAGCACAUGACAGGUACUUGGGUGAACUGGAUGGUUUGUGUCAUCUGGCCAUCAAGUGAGCCACCACUAGAGGGCACUGGCAGUUCGGUCAGAUUGGAGGCGCUGGAGGUGUUCCCACAGACACAGGGUCAGGACUGUUUAUGAAAGCACCUGGACUCAAGCCUGGACUUCUGUAUUUCACCCAGGCAGGA